UGGGGAAUAUUGGACAAUGGGCGAAAGCCUGAUCCAGCCAUGCCGCGUGUGUGAAGAAGGUCUUCGGAUUGUAAAGCACUUUAAGUUGGGAGGAAGGGCAGUAAGCGAAUACCUUGCUGUUUUGACGUUACCGACAGAAUAAGCACCGGCUAACUCUGUGCCAGCAGCCGCGGUAAUACAGAGGGUGCAAGCGUUAAUCGGAAUUACUGGGCGUAAAGCGCGCGUAGGUGGUUCGUUAAGUUGAAUGUGAAAGCCCCGGGCUCAACCUGGGAACUGCAUCCAAAACUGGCGGGCUAGAGUAGGGCAGAGGGUGGUGGAAUUUCCUGUGUAGCGGUGAAAUGCGUAGAUAUAGGAAGGAAAACCAGUGGCGAAGGCGACCACCUGGGCUCAUACUGACACUGAGGUGCGAAAGCGUGGGGAGCAAACAGG
RNAcentral lists this ribosomal RNA (429 nucleotides) under Pseudomonadota bacterium. Its description in RNAcentral is "Proteobacteria bacterium partial 16S ribosomal RNA". It matches the Rfam family "Bacterial small subunit ribosomal RNA", at positions 355 to 776 of the family's 1533-position model. Lineage: Bacteria; Pseudomonadati; Pseudomonadota. The record is from RNAcentral.